AUGAACGCUGGCGGCGUGCUUAACACAUGCAAGUCGAACGGUGAACACGGAGCUUGCUCUGUGGGAUCAGUGGCGAACGGGUGAGUAACACGUGAGCAACCUGCCCCUGACUCUGGGAUAAGCGCUGGAAACGGCGUCUAAUACUGGAUAUGUGACGUGACCGCAUGGUCUGCGUCUGGAAAGAUUUUUCGGUUGGGGAUGGGCUCGCGGCCUAUCAGCUUGUUGGUGGGGUAAUGGCCUACCAAGGCGACGACGGGUAGCCGACCUGAGAGGGUGACCGGCCACACUGGGACUGAGACACGGCCCAGACUCCUACGGGAGGCAGCAGUGGGGAAUAUUGCACAAUGGGCGGAAGCCUGAUGCAGCGACGCCGCGUGAGGGAUGAAGGCCUUCGGGUUGUAAACCUCUUUCAGCAGGGACGAAGCGUGAGUGACGGUACCUGCAGAAGAAGCACCGGCUAACUACGU
Molecule: ribosomal RNA, 467 nt
Filed under: uncultured bacterium
Lineage: Bacteria
Description: bacterial SSU rRNA
Rfam family: Bacterial small subunit ribosomal RNA
Source: RNAcentral